AUGCUGAAAUGCAAGCAUGCUAUCACUCUGAUGUCUGCCACUGAUCGGCUGUCUGCUCUUGAUGGAGACUUUCUUUCACCUGAUGAUGCUACAGAGUAUCACAGUCUCAUUGGUGGUCUGCAAUACCUUACUAUUACCAGGCCGGAUAUCUCUUAUGCAGUCAACCGUGUGUGUCAGUACCUUCAUGCAUCCAGGACAUCUCAUUGGUCAGCUGUGAAGCGUAUUUUGCGUUAUAUCUAUCUUACUGCCUCCUAUGGUUUGCUUCUUCAGCCUGCGCCGUCUUGUGAGCUCUCAGCUUUUUCAGAUGCAGAUUGGCCUGGUAGUCCUGAUGACAGGCCAUCCACGGUGGGUUAUGCAGUAUUCCUGGGUUCUAACUUGAUCGCCUGGAAUGCUCGAAAGCAAGCAACAAUGUCUCGCAGCAGUACUGAAGCUGAGUAUAAAGCGGUUGCUGAUGCGACUGCUGAGAUCAUAUGGGUACAGUAUCUAUUGAGGGAGUUGAGAGUCUCUCCAGCUCGUCCUCCAGUUCUUUGGUGGGACAACAUCGGUGCUACAUAUCUUUCUUCUAAUCCGGUGUUUCAUACUCGGACGAAGCACAUUAAGGUUGACUAUCAUUUUGUUCGGGAACGCGUUGCACAGAAUCUACUCUGUAUCAAGUUCAUCUCGUCAAAGGAUCAACUUGUUGACAUCUUCACAAAGCAUCUUCCAUAA
Molecule: ribosomal RNA, 708 nt
Filed under: Triticum aestivum (bread wheat)
Lineage: Eukaryota; Viridiplantae; Streptophyta; Magnoliopsida; Poales; Poaceae
Description: partial small subunit ribosomal RNA
Source: RNAcentral